This 407-nucleotide ribosomal RNA is filed under the name uncultured bacterium. RNAcentral describes it as "partial 16S ribosomal RNA". It matches the Rfam family "Bacterial small subunit ribosomal RNA", at positions 30 to 526 of the family's 1533-position model. The record is from RNAcentral.
AUUGAACGCUGGCGGCAGGCCUAACACAUGCAAGUCGAGCGGAGCGGCGGACGGGUGAGUAAUGCCUAGGAAUCUGCCUGGUAGUGGGGGAUAACGUCCGGAAACGGGCGCUAAUACCGCAUACUAUCGGCUGAACCCAUAUGGGAUUAGCUCGUAGGUGGGGUAAAGGCUCACCUAGGCGACGAUCUCUAGCUGGUCUGAGAGGAUGAUAAGCCACACUGGGACUGCGACACGGCCCAGACUCCUACGGGAGGCAGAAGUGGGGAAUAUUGCACAAUGGGCGCAAUCCUGAGGCAGCCAUGCCGCGUGUAUGAAGAAGGCCUUAGGGUUGUAAAGUACUUGCAGCGGGGAGGCGUUACCCGCAGAAGAAGCACCGGCUAACUCCGUGCCAGCCGCCGCGGUAAUUC